UAGCACUGCUCAGGGUGAACU
RNAcentral lists this microRNA (21 nucleotides) under Mus musculus (house mouse). RNAcentral's name for it is "mmu-miR-6345". Lineage: Eukaryota; Metazoa; Chordata; Mammalia; Rodentia; Muridae. The record is from miRBase by way of RNAcentral.